GCUCGAGUGGCGAACGGGUGAGUAUCACGUGAGUAACCUGCCCUUGACUUUGGGAUAACUUCAGGAAACUGGGGCUAAUACCGGAUAGGAGCUCCUGCUGCAUGGUGGGGGUUGGAAAGUUUCGGCGGUUGGGGAUGGACUCGCGGCUUAUCAGCUUGUUGGUGGGGUAGUGGCUUACCAAGGCUUUGACGGGUAGCCGGCCUGAGAGGGUGACCGGCCACAUUGGGACUGAGAUACGGCCCAG
This 244-nucleotide ribosomal RNA is filed under the name uncultured Actinomycetales bacterium. Its description in RNAcentral is "partial 16S ribosomal RNA". It matches the Rfam family "Bacterial small subunit ribosomal RNA", at positions 89 to 334 of the family's 1533-position model. The record is from RNAcentral. Lineage: Bacteria; Bacillati; Actinomycetota; Actinomycetes; Actinomycetales.